AACCAUGACUCCAACAGUGCUGCA
RNAcentral lists this non-coding RNA (24 nucleotides) under Arabidopsis thaliana (thale cress). The record is from RNAcentral. Lineage: Eukaryota; Viridiplantae; Streptophyta; Magnoliopsida; Brassicales; Brassicaceae.